CUUUCGGAGAGUUUGAUCCUGGCUCAGAGUGAACGCUGGCGGCGUGGAUUAGGCAUGCAUGUCGAGCGAUCUCGCAAGGGAUAGCGGCAAACGGGUUAGGAACACGUAGAUAAUCUUCCUUAUAUUCUGACAUAGCCCUAUGAAAAUAGGGGUAAUAUCAGAUACCAUGCUGAAAGGGCAUCCUUUUAGUAUUAAAGUAGGGGACCGCAAGGCCUUACGAUAUAAGAUGAGUCUGCGUAGCAUCAGCUAGUUGGUAGGGUAACGGCCUACCAAGGCUAAGACGCUUAGCUGGUCUGAGAGGACGAUCAGCAACACUGGGACUGAGACACUGCCCAGACUCCUACGGGAGGCUGCAGUCGAGAAUAUUUAGCAAUGGGCGAAAGCCUGACUAUGCGACGCCGCGUGAGGGAUGAAGGAUUUCGGUUCGUAAACCUCUUUUGGCAGGGAAGAAAAUG
Molecule: ribosomal RNA, 455 nt
Filed under: Candidatus Omnitrophota bacterium
Lineage: Bacteria; Pseudomonadati; Candidatus Omnitrophota
Description: bacterial SSU rRNA
Rfam family: Bacterial small subunit ribosomal RNA
Source: RNAcentral